This 372-nucleotide ribosomal RNA is filed under the name uncultured organism. Its description in RNAcentral is "bacterial SSU rRNA". It matches the Rfam family "Bacterial small subunit ribosomal RNA", at positions 526 to 896 of the family's 1533-position model. The record is from RNAcentral.
CAGAGACUGCAAGCGUUAUUCGGAUUCACUGGGCGUAAAGGGUGCGCAGGCGGCCAUGUGUGUCAGGUGUGAAAGCCCGGGGCUUAACCCCGGAAUUGCGCCUGAAACUACGUGGCUAGAGCAUUGGAGAGGGUAGCGGAAUUCACGGUGUAGCAGUGAAAUGCGCAGAUAUCGUGAGGAACACCAGAGGCGAAGGCGGCUACCUGGACAAUUGCUGACGCUCAGGCACGAAAGCGUGGGGAGCAAAAGGGAUUAGAUACCCCUGUAGUCCACGCCCUAAACGGUGCGCACUAGGUCUUGGCGGAUUCGACCCCCCCAGGGCCCAAGCUAACGCGUUAAGUGUGCCGCCUGAGGACUACGGCCGCAAGGCUA